UGAACCUGAGAGUUUGAUCCUGGCUCAGAACGAACGCUGGCGGCAUGCCUAACACAUGCAAGUCGAACGAAGGCUUCGGCCUUAGUGGCGCACGGGUGAGUAACACGUGGGAACCUGCCUUU
This 122-nucleotide ribosomal RNA is filed under the name Azospirillum melinis. Its description in RNAcentral is "partial 16S ribosomal RNA". It matches the Rfam family "Bacterial small subunit ribosomal RNA", at positions 1 to 133 of the family's 1533-position model. Lineage: Bacteria; Pseudomonadati; Pseudomonadota; Alphaproteobacteria; Rhodospirillales; Azospirillaceae. The record is from RNAcentral.